This is an RNA transcript of Monopterus albus (swamp eel), 5074 nucleotides long. RefSeq lists it as uncharacterized. Lineage: Eukaryota; Metazoa; Chordata; Actinopteri; Synbranchiformes; Synbranchidae. The transcript has 13 exons. The record is from RefSeq and is a predicted model, not a curated record.
GAUCCCAAGAUGAAUUUUACUUUGCACCUGAAUAUCAAGAGGAUGGAAUUUUGACUGAGAAGGUUUGUGUGUAUGGGGUUGCUGCUAUUCUCUGGGCUGCUGCCAAGUUCAGUUUAUCACCUAAUCAGAAACUGGCAAUGCCUCACAAACUGAAGAGACUGCUACUGGAGAUGGCAAAGAAGGCGCCCAUUGAGAGACCUACCAUUGUCAUGGCUAAAAAAAGCUGUCAGGACUGCUUAUCACAUCAAAGGACAAAUGCUGAGACUGUCUGGAACAACCUGGUCAGAAGAGUUCACCCGCCAGCCUCAAAAUCUAGUGAUGCAGAAGAUGUGAGUGCAAGUCAAACACAUCAAGGCUUAUGUGAAGAGUCUGCACAAAACAGCGGUGGCUUUGUGCCCAUGGGAAUUGUGAGCCAACUGGCUGCUGUACCUGGCCCUGUUCCCCACAGCUAUCCAGGCAGCAAGGAACUCCUGCUCCCAGAGGCCUUCACUUCCACUGCUACGCACUUCACACCCAUCAUCCUGACCAAUGAAGCAGACUCAGAGGAGGAGAGCCACAACAUUGCAACUGCCAGUCAAGGGAUUCUGGAUGAAUUUUCACAAGGAGCCUCAAUUUCACUUCACACACUGAAUAUACAUAUCCUGUGCAGAUUGAACCCUGUCUAACUACACAGGAGUCGUCUAUCGAGCAGGCAGCCAUAACUACAACUUCCAACUAUAACUCUCCAUCCCCUCUACGUGGUAUUUCCCAUUUUGAAAUCUCUCUUCCUCAGUCAUUAUUUUCUAAUCUCAGUGGUUGUGGUGUUUUCAACAAUUACCUUUUCCGUCAUGAUCCCACAACAGGACAUCUUUCUUUAGUACCUGUGCAGGUCAGGGCUCCUGAGCCUCUCAUCAGGUUGGAAAUAAAUCUCUCCCUGAUCCCACAGCCUUUGCAGGCACUAAUCACAGUUCCAGGAUGCACUGAAGGUUCAUUUGUUAACUGCCCGACUGUGCCCAUGAAGCCUGAAUCUCAGGAAUAUGGCCUACUGUCAUCUUAUUUCAGUGGUAGCUCUAUCAUUUCUGACAGCCCUCCGAAGUACAGUGAGCCUGGGGCUUACAAUGGACAGACAAUUUCAGGAACACAAGGUAUGAGCCUGUCUCCUUCAGAGUACAUCUCCUGCAAAGUCCUCCCUGCCUUCCAGGAAGUGAUUGGCCUGCUCAAAGGAGAGUUUUCACUUGAUGGGUGUUCCAGCACAAUGGGUAUUUGAACAAUGGCCACAAGGAUAUCGCCAUGGGGGAGUACAGCUUCUCUUUGAAGGACCUUCAGUACCACACGUUUGCCAGUGUUGUGAAGGAACGGUUCAGUGAAUUGUACUAGGAAGACGACUUGCUGGGUGUGUUGCACUGCCUGGUCAACUGCAGCCCAUCCAUACAUGGCACUAAUGAGCAGCCUCCAUCAAAGGCUGUGGAAAGGGCAGCACUUACCCCACCCUUAAAUGGCCACUGUCUCAAGAAAGGAGAGAGAAGUUUGCCUGCACGACAGUCUUGAUCUGAAUGGAAACAUCCACACAACCAGUUCCGCUGCUGUGAAUUCUUGGGACAAAACUGAGGGCCAGUCCUGCCAUGGAGACAGUGAGAUUGCACUUGAAGAUUCUGAAUUAAGAUCAGAGCAGAGUCCACAGUAUUUCAGUCAAGGUGUGAGGUGCUGACAGUUCAGAAGCAGGGGUCAUGGAGGGAGAAGAUCAUUCAAUGGGGUACAUCAAUCGAAGCCCCUCUGAAGUUGAGUUUCUGUCGGGGAGACAGGAAGGGCUGACAGGAGCCCACAACGAGCAGAUGAGCCUCAAGUGCUCUGAGGGCAUGGAGAACAGUGACUCUCUGGUGUCAGAGCCACUUCUCUCACCUAGAUCCAGAGCAGAGGGGCCGGGCCUCAGCUUCAGGCCGGCAUGGGCCUUGGCCUUUUUUGGAGAAGAUUGUUUUGAUCCAGAGGUCAAACAGUAUGUAGUGAAUCUGGGACAGCACACAGGAUCGCCAUGUCUGGAUGUGAAAACACAGGUGGGUAAACCUGUGAAGACUACUACCAGUGAGUCAUUUGUGACUUUAACUCUGUGUGCGAACAAACAGCAGACUGCAUGAAGUGACUGACUUAUUUAUCAGAUUCUUUUGUGAUGAAACAUAUACAGUAUCAUUUUUUUAUUUAACACAUAUUGCAGUAAUAGGUAGAGAGUUGUGUAUAUUAUCUGUAAAUGCUGAUAUUCUUACUUUGUUCAUAAACUUUAGAUUGAAAAUCCUGUGCUGGGAGUAAGUCAGUGUUUUAAUUUCCAUUCUUUAUGCAUUUUAUCCAUGUAUUAUAAUAUAUCUAAGUGCUUAUUGAAUGCAGUUUAACUUCCUAGUUUUAUUCAUCCCUCACCAGGUCUAGUUUUAUGAAUAAUUGCAGGAAAUAUUUUCCUAUCUGUAAUGAAGUGGGGCCCGGUCAAGCUUUGGGGUAAAUAGGAUGAGAACAUGUGGAGGACUUGAAGAUAAUUGGCGUUUUAUUCUCUCCAAACUGGAAUUGAAUGUUAAUGUUGAACUUAGCCCUUGGCAGAGGAAGUUAUUGUCAUCUGCAGAAGAAUAUUAAUGAGUAGUCUUUGUGUUUGCACACUUUGAUGGCACCACUGCUCCUCCAGAAGGUUUGUGUAACAGCUGACAACACACCUUAAGAGCUUUGUUGCUCUGACUUCUCACUCAUUUCAAUUCAAAAGCGCUACUAUGUUCUGUUGCCAUGGUGAAGAGGGAAAAAAAUUGGUGCCCCAUACACAGUGGAAACACCCGAAGGCUUCUUUCAGCGAAAGGCAUGCGCUGUUAUUUUAGGGCCUUUGUGCGAUUCUGGAUGAUUUCCUUUGAACAGGAACUGCAACAGCAGCUAAUGACUGAAACAAGGAAUCUAAAGAAAAUGAGAAAUUUCUACCAGAAGCUGAUUCAACAAGAGAGAAAAAAUAAAGGUUGGAUGCCCAUUUCAUAACAAUGCUAGAGUACCACUGUGACCUAAUAAGCAGUUUAUGCACUGUUGUCUUAAAGGUUCAGAGAGCAAACUGACGCUGUCCAAACUCAAGUUACAGCUUGAGGAACUCAGAGCCAAAGUGAUCUUCUUGAAUUGUGUGAAGAAAUACCUAGAGGUAGUAACACAAAGUACUACAGCUCCCCAUGCUGCCAUUUCUCAUGCAUCCCCCAACAAUCUCUCUCCUCUAACUUUUUAUAUAACUUGUUAACUAUUUGUAUUUCUGCAGAUUUUGAAUGUUGACCAGUGGGGUUUGGAAGUUUCAUUAUUAGACUCCUUGGCUGCCUGUGGACCUGGCUCUUUGCACCUCCAAUCCUCUGAGGACCCUUCUGUUCUGAGCUUUGGUGCUAGCGCUCAGCAGGGUGGAUCUCCUCUGGGUCUCAUGGCUUAUCUCUACGCCAGGUAUUAUUGAUGAGCAUUUACAUUUGCUAUCUAUAAGUCAGGAGGUCAUAUGAUAAUGUUGAUGGCAUCAGGUAACCUCUUUGAUGGGAGCUGUGUGUUCUAUUAUUCAUCUUCUAAUGGGUCCAACCAAGGAUUUCACAAUAACUCAGGUCAGAAAAUUUCUAGAUUAUGGCAAGAAACCAAGAUGUUACUAAAGCAGAGGUUAAGAGUGCAGGUGUUUGGAACAGUUUUCACUGGCAUGAUAAUUCAUAUUUGGUCUAGUGUGUUUCUGGUCAUGCUGUGUGGGCUUGAGUCAAAAUAAACUUCAUUGUGUGUGCUCAUGGUAAUGAAGGAACAUGUCAGGGCAAAGUGUGGCUUGCCACUAUGUUCGGAAUAGUUUUUGAACAACACUGAACCUCUAUGGUGCCAAGAAAUAUGAUAAAUCAAGCUGGUUGUCCAGUGUUGUUUUUGGUCUUUUCAUAGGAUUUGUGGACUCUGUGUGCCAAAUACAGUUUAAUUAUGUGUAUGUGCGUCUCUCUCUCUUUUUCACCACUGACCCCCACACUCUUUUUUGACUAGUUAUGUAGUUGGUCACAUGCAGUAUAUUUUGUUUAAAUGUCAGUAAAAUUAAAUGUCACCACCCUAACUUUAACCCUAAUCUGUAAACACUGACGUUAUUACUGAAGUAUAUAUCUGAAGUCUGACUUUUUGAGCAUUGACAUUUUUUUAGCCACUUUUAGUUCCCCCUCCUCCAACUGAAACUGGUUUUACAGUACUUUUACUACGUCUCCCACAUGAUCUGAGAAAAGCUGAUUGUCUGUUUCCUCAUGUUAUUUUAUUCCAUAAUUUGCUGUCGUAGAUAUGUUUUCACUGAACAAUGUUACUAAUCUGUUAGUUUAUGAACUUUAUACAGCACUUCCUUUAUACCUAUCGUUUCUUCUGUACUCCUGAACAGUUACUACAGUUCAUAAUUGAUAAAUUCAUCAGUGCUGCAAGGUACAGUGUAUCUGUAUGCAGAGUAUAUUUACAAUGUAGUCUUAUAUUGUCCAUUAAUUGUAUAAUGUGUGUUUUCUAUGCCAGAGAAGGUCCAGACAUGUCAGGAAACAGUGAAAAGAUCUUCCAUCACGGUUUAGACCUGCUCCAUUUCUGGAUAAUAUAUUGUAAAGCAGUGGAUUGGACACCAAAGUCCAGUCUUGUGGCUUCAUUAGAAAAAUUCCUUAAUACUGAGGUAAUUCCUGUCGACAGCUGGGUGGAGGCCCUUCUGACUGCUCUCCACAGCCCUCCAAGUGCAGCUUGUAGCCAAGGAAGAGGAAGCCUAAUCAGCACUGCGGAAGAUGAUGGCACCAUGUGUGUGCACUCAUCUACCAAGGAAAAGGAAUGUGUCUCACUGCAUCCUGCCAGCAGAUGGCAGCAGUCUUCUUGUAUGUGAGAGGACGCCAUGGACAGCUAUCUCCAGUGGCUGCUCGCAUAUGCUGACAGUGUCACUAACCGGAUCUCUGCUGAAAUAGUCAUCUGUGACUCUGUCAAGACCCAAGUCAUUUUGCUGACCAAGUAUCUGUGGAUAGGAAAACACUGCUACGAAUCGAGGAACUUUGCCACAGCCAUGCAGGUCCUCAGAGGCUUGGAAACAUCUGUCUUCCAAGGUGUGUGAGAUCCUGGAAGAGCUACGAUCUGUACAGGU